This 1099-nucleotide ribosomal RNA is filed under the name Flavobacterium johnsoniae. RNAcentral describes it as "bacterial SSU rRNA". It matches the Rfam family "Bacterial small subunit ribosomal RNA", at positions 56 to 1166 of the family's 1533-position model. Lineage: Bacteria; Pseudomonadati; Bacteroidota; Flavobacteriia; Flavobacteriales; Flavobacteriaceae. The record is from RNAcentral.
UGCAGUCGAGGGGUAUAUGUCUUCGGAUAUAGAGACCGGCGCACGGGUGCGUAACGCGUAUGCAAUCUGCCUUUCACAGAGGGAUAGCCCAGAGAAAUUUGGAUUAAUACCUCAUAGUAUUAUGUUUCGGCAUCGAGAUAUAAUUAAAGUCACAACGGUGAAAGAUGAGCAUGCGUCCCAUUAGCUAGUUGGUAAGGUAACGGCUUACCAAGGCUACGAUGGGUAGGGGUCCUGAGAGGGAGAUCCCCCACACUGGUACUGAGACACGGACCAGACUCCUACGGGAGGCAGCAGUGAGGAAUAUUGGACAAUGGGCGCAAGCCUGAUCCAGCCAUGCCGCGUGCAGGAUGACGGUCCUAUGGAUUGUAAACUGCUUUUGUACGAGAAGAAACACUCCUUCGUGAAGGAAUUUGACGGUAUCGUAAGAAUAAGGAUCGGCUAACUCCGUGCCAGCAGCCGCGGUAAUACGGAGGAUCCAAGCGUUAUCCGGAAUCAUUGGGUUUAAAGGGUCCGUAGGCGGUUUAGUAAGUCAGUGGUGAAAGCCCAUCGCUCAACGGUGGAACGGCCAUUGAUACUGCUGAACUUGAAUUAUUAGGAAGUAACUAGAAUAUGUAGUGUAGCGGUGAAAUGCUUAGAGAUUACAUGGAAUACCAAUUGCGAAGGCAGGUUACUACUAAUUGAUUGACGCUGAUGGACGAAAGCGUGGGGAGCGAACAGGAUUAGAUACCCUGGUAGUCCACGCCGUAAACGAUGGAUACUAGCUGUUGGGAGCAAUUUCAGUGGCUAAGCGAAAGUGAUAAGUAUCCCACCUGGGGAGUACGUUCGCAAGAAUGAAACUCAAAGGAAUUGACGGGGGCCCGCACAAGCGGUGGAGCAUGUGGUUUAAUUCGAUGAUACGCGAGGAACCUUACCAAGGCUUAAAUGUAGAUUGACCGUUUUGGAAACAGAACUUUCGCAAGACAAUUUACAAGGUGCUGCAUGGUUGUCGUCAGCUCGUGCCGUGAGGUGUCAGGUUAAGUCCUAUAACGAGCGCAACCCNNGUUGUUAGUUGCCAGCGAGUCAAGUCGGGAACUCUAACAAGACUGCCAGUGCAAACUGG